This is a long non-coding RNA of Onthophagus taurus, 550 nucleotides long. RefSeq lists it as uncharacterized. NCBI's taxonomy places the organism in Eukaryota, Metazoa, Arthropoda, Insecta, Coleoptera, Scarabaeidae. The record is from RefSeq and is a predicted model, not a curated record.
UAGAAAAGAUAUUUUGACAUUUUGUUGUGAAAUUGUCAAAUGCUUUUAAUACAUCAUUCAAGGUUGUCUGUUGUGAACACGGGAUGGGAGUCAUUGUUGAAGAAGUAGAAGAAAUGGAAGGAAAUUCGAGAGUCGGCCGCUGUAAAUUCUUAUUAGUAGUACUUUGAAAAUUUGUUUUAAAAUUUUGAUUUUCUAAUGAGGAAUUCGAAAAAGCUUCCCAUAUCUUAUCGGCCAUUGUCAAUAAGUCGAUGCAUGACAUUAUCCAAGUAAAGCAGGUGGUAUAAGUUAGGUUGCAGGAAACAAGAAGGAUAGGAAGACCACAACAGACUUAGGUGAAGGCAGUAUUGGACGCCAUCCUCAAGAGAAGGAAAACUAUGCAGGAAGCCAGAUAUCUAAAGCAUGGUCUAAGUUCGUACAUGGAGUGACGACAUAGUACAUGAGAGAGAACUUUCAAUUUUUUCAGCUGAAUUGUGAAUAACUUUAUAUUAGAUUGAGAACUUGUGGAUUAAUGUAACGUAAAAAAAAUAACAAAGGGCAAAGUUCAAGUGUA